UCCCAGGUUGCUCAGUGGUAGAGAAUCUGCCUGCCAAUGCGGGAGAGCCGGGUUCAAUCCCUGAUCUGGGAA
Molecule: transfer RNA, 72 nt
Organism: Ovis aries (sheep)
Lineage: Eukaryota; Metazoa; Chordata; Mammalia; Artiodactyla; Bovidae
Rfam family: tRNA
About the family: Transfer RNA (tRNA) molecules are approximately 80 nucleotides in length.
Source: Rfam